This 253-nucleotide ribosomal RNA is filed under the name uncultured bacterium. Its description in RNAcentral is "partial 16S ribosomal RNA". It matches the Rfam family "Bacterial small subunit ribosomal RNA", at positions 524 to 776 of the family's 1533-position model. The record is from RNAcentral.
UACGAAGGGUGCAAGCGUUACUCGGAAUUACUGGGCGUAAAGCGUGCGUAGGUGGUUUGUUAAGUCUGUUGUGAAAGCCCCGGGCUCAACCUGGGAAUGGCAAUGGAUACUGGCAGGCUAGAGUGCGGUAGAGGGUAGUGGAAUUCCCGGUGUAGCGGUGAAAUGCGUAGAGAUCCGGAGGAACACCGACGGCGCAGGCAGCGUCCUGGCCGCUUGCUGACACUGAGGCACGAAAGCUGGGGGAGCGAACAGG